UCCUGUCUCUAACCUACCACUGAUUUUGAAGAAUGCAGGAUUCAAACUGGAGAACGAGGAUUGUAACGACCUGAUAAAACAGCUGUCGGUCGAUGAGAAUGAAAUGGUUGACUUAAGUGUGUUAAUGAAUUUAGCAAAAGCUUUUACUGGCGAGAAGGUUGGAACUGAUAAUCUGAAAGCUGUGCUGAGGAAAAUGGGACUGGUACUCCCCGACAGUGCAUACAAGGAACUGCAGAAGGCCCUGUCAGCUUACG
Long non-coding RNA from Meriones unguiculatus (Mongolian gerbil), 254 nucleotides. RefSeq lists it as uncharacterized. The transcript has 3 exons. NCBI's taxonomy places the organism in Eukaryota, Metazoa, Chordata, Mammalia, Rodentia, Muridae. The record is from RefSeq and is a predicted model, not a curated record.